Long non-coding RNA from Haemorhous mexicanus (house finch), 2221 nucleotides. RefSeq lists it as uncharacterized. The transcript is spliced from 5 exons. Lineage: Eukaryota; Metazoa; Chordata; Aves; Passeriformes; Fringillidae. The record is from RefSeq and is a predicted model, not a curated record.
UGCUGCUGCUUCUCCACACCCUGAGGUCAGGAGAGGUCAGCAGUGGACCAUGUGCCUACACGUGAUGGAAUAAGGUCCUAGAAUAAAGGCUGCCUGAGAUUUGUCCUGCUGGGCAGGUCAGUUUUCCUUUUUUGGGGUGGUAAACUUCAUAUGCAAGGAGACAGGAAAUUUCAGAGGGAAACUGGGAUAAUUAAAAUAAUCUUGUUUGGCCCAUUGCCAAUUCUUUCAUCUCAGAAAACAUAGCUGUGGAGACAGGCACAGAUCUUGUAAACUAGUCUAGUCUGAAUAGGUCUCAUCUAACAUUUUGGAACAUUGAACCUUAGUGAGCAUCUAACAUGCAAAGGCAUUUCUGUGGGACAAUUGGAAUACUUUUGCUUUAUUGGGCGUUCCUUGAGAUUAAGGCUGAAGAAAGUGGAUCUUCAGGUGAGUGUGGUAUUUCCUUAUGUAGAUUGCAUCACGAAACCAUUUCAGAAGAAGAUAUUUUUAUGAGCAAGACUUGUAUAAAUUACAAAGAAAAAAAAAAGCCUGGAAAAGCUGAAAUAGAGAUUUAAGUACUGCACAAGCUGGAUGGAAUUAAAGCUACUCUUGUUUUUCAGUUUCUAAAUCUUGAAGCUAUAAUAUUUUCUCUUCCUGUGCUUAAUCGAGAGUGUUUGUAACAAACCACCUUGUCUGCAUGCCAAGAGAUUGCCACAGAAAGAAACAAAUUGCUGCUGAUGACAGAGGAAAAGAGUCUUCAGAAAGUCCCUUUCAGAAAGCUUGUGACGAGAUGAUGUGAGGGAUGUGGCAGUCUUACGGUGGAAGCAAGAUAAUUGAUUUGAGUUUAUGACACUGCAACUGGUUACAAGAAGCAGUCUGCUCUGUGCAAGAGCAGAGCAGGUCUGUGCACUUCUGCUGGGGUGGAAGUUCUCUGGCUUUCAGUGUUUGCUCAGUGAAUUCAAUGUCAACAUACACAGACAGCAGAUCUCAGAGGAGUCAGAGGCCCAUUCCCAGAAGAGUAACAAUCCAAAGUUUAUACUUCCAGUGAGAUGCUGUCUGAGAAGUGCUGGAAAAAGAAAGGUUGGUCAAAGGCAGGUGUUGUGCCCAGGUGGAAGCCCAACAGCUGCAUUCCUGAUGUAUUGCCUGGCAUCCACCUAGAUGGCUUUCUAGGAUAUGUUCCCAAGAGCUCUGCAAGGAGCCCAGCAGCCAGCUACAGUGUGGGCAGGAAGAGAGAGAGAGACACUGCAUCUUCUUGAGAGACACCAUGACUUACCAAUGCUGUGUCAAAGCUUUUCCUUCAACUAAGGAGUCAGCAGCAGAAGAGGAGCAGUGAAUUCCAACACCCAGCAACAUGUACAAGGUACUGACAAAGGCCCUGAAGAUUCACACCUCAGGAGAGUAGAAAUUACUGUAAGAAGUUUUUUCAGUUGAGUAGACAUUAACACUGCCCUAACUGCAAGAAAAAGGCAGUCCAGAUGUAUUUAAUGUUAACAUUAAUAUAUCUGAGGAUAAUUCUUAUCUAAUGAGCACCCAGAUUAUUUUCUUUCCUUGGUUAGUGUUUAGGUAGUCUAACUUCCUUUUAGGAUGUUGAGUAUCUUUUCUUGUUCAGUGGAGUCAAUAGAAACUUCUUGGACAUUUGUCUGUUCUUAGGGUUUCCUUCUUUAGUGUGCUCUGUGCAUUUUAAUUGUUCCAAUAAUCUCUGGUUAAAAAAGCAGGUUUUUCUAAAAUGCUGAUAAAAUGAAUACACAAUAUUUUUACAAUUAAAAAGAAAUUAUUUUCCUGACAAUGUUUUAGUGCACCGUGUUCUUUCAUUCACUGCUUAGCUCAUCUUUAAGGAAAUAUCCUUAACUUCAUUUGGUUUACUUCCAAGUAAGAAAAAGUGCACCAAACUACUGCUUAAGGAUCUGAUUUGUUUGAAAUGCCUGACUGAGCAGAGUGUGCAGAAGAGGGAUUAUCCCCCUUCAGAACUGACCUGGAAGGUUGCUACAAGCACAGAGCCCACAGAGUGAAGUCCUGGAGCUGUCCUUGGACUAUUUGCUGUAUUUUCUCAUCAGGAGUGAGAGACAGAGCUUUACUUUUCAGUUUCAAAAUUGAAGAUUAAUAUCAUUGAUAAGAAGAAAAAAAGUGAAGACAUUAUCUUCUGUUCUUGUAGAAGAAUCCUUUAUCCCUACCUCCAAAUCAAGUCUAAAAUAUACUUAAGGUGAAAAAAAAAAAAAGAGAGGAAGGAAAAUCAAAAGAAACCAGA